This 497-nucleotide ribosomal RNA is filed under the name uncultured bacterium. Its description in RNAcentral is "partial 16S ribosomal RNA". It matches the Rfam family "Bacterial small subunit ribosomal RNA", at positions 28 to 507 of the family's 1533-position model. The record is from RNAcentral.
GAUGAACGCUGGCGGCGCGCCUAAUUCAUGCAAGUCGAGCGAACGGACGAGAAGCUUGCUUCUCUGAUGUUAGCGGCGGACGGGUGAGUAACACGUGGAUAACCUACCUAUAAGACUGGGAUAACUUCGGGAAACCGGAGCUAAUACCGGAUGAUAUUUUGAACCGCACGGUUCAAAAGUGAAAGACGGUCUUGCUGUCACUUAUAGAUGGAUCCGCGCUGCAUUAGCUAGUUGGUAAGGUAACGGCUUACCAAGGCAACGAUGCAUAGCCGACCUGAGAGGGUGAUCGGCCACACUGGAACUGAGACACGGUCCAGACUCCUACGGGAGGCAGCAGUAGGGAAUCUUCCGCAAUGGGCGAAAGCCUGACGGAGCAACGCCGCGUGAGUGAUGAAGGUCUUCGGAUCGUAAAACUCUGUUAUUAGGGAAGAACAUAUGUGUAAGUAACUGUGCACAUCUUGACGGUACCUAAUCAGAAAGCCACGGCUAACUACGUG